This 484-nucleotide ribosomal RNA is filed under the name uncultured bacterium. RNAcentral's name for it is "partial 16S ribosomal RNA". It matches the Rfam family "Bacterial small subunit ribosomal RNA", at positions 30 to 507 of the family's 1533-position model. The record is from RNAcentral.
AUUGAACGCUGGCGGCAGGCCUAACACAUGCAAGUCGAGCGGAUGAAGGGAGCUUGCUCCUGGAUUCAGCGGCGGACGGGUGAGUAAUGCCUAGGAAUCUGCCUGGCAGAGGGGGAUAACGUCCGGAAACGGGCGCUAAUACCGCAUACGUCCAGAGGGAGAAAGUGGGGGAUCUUCGGACCUCACGCUAUUAGAUGAGCCUAGGUCGGAUUAGCUAGUUGGUGGGGUAAAGGCCUACCAAGGCGACGAUCCGUAACUGGUCUGAGAGGAUGAUCAGUCACACUGGAACUGAGACACGGUCCAGACUCCUACGGGAGGCAGCAGUGGGGAAUAUUGGACAAUGGGCGAAAGCCUGAUCCAGCCAUGCCGCGUGUGUGAAGAAGGUCUUCGGAUUGUAAAGCACUUUUAGUUGGGAGGAAGAGCAGUAAGUUAAUACCUUGCUGUUUUGACGGUACCAACAGAAUAAGCACCGGCUAACUUCGUG